Molecule: long non-coding RNA, 5024 nt
Filed under: Sus scrofa (pig)
Lineage: Eukaryota; Metazoa; Chordata; Mammalia; Artiodactyla; Suidae
Description: lncRNA (ENSSSCG00000057452.1)
Source: RNAcentral
UACUAAUGCAUAUAAGGCACUUACUCUGCUAGCUUCUGAGGAUUUGAGGAUGAGUUAGAUAUUCGAGCCUUCCAAGAGUUUUCAAACUACUGAGAGAGACAGAUGCACCCAACAUAUACACACAAAACACCACACACACAUACACAUGCAGUCUCAAUAAUUAUGAAUAUGGGUACUUCUAUGUGCUUUAUGCUUUAUGUUUCAUAAACACCCUUUAAGAUAGAUAAUGUUAUCUUCCUUAUACAGAUCAGGGAUCGAGGCACCAAAACAUUAAGUAAUUUUCCAAAGGUCACACAGUUAGUAGCAAAGCCAGUUAACAAUGAGGCAACUUACUACAAUUAUAAGAGACUUCACAGUCCAUAAUGUACAUGAGUAAUUACUGGGGACAAAAGGUCAGAAUAUUUGAAAUCAUGUUUUUUCUAAAAAUGUUAGGAUGUAUUAUUAUAGUAAUUCUGCUAGAACCAAAUUAGCAUAAUUGCUAUAACACAAAUAUAGACAAAAUGUUAUAGAGGCAUGAAGAAAGGAGUUAAUAAUACUCUAAAAAAACAACAUAAUUUCUAAACACAGGAAAACAUUAAAAUGAAACAAAUAUCUAUGGACUCUCACUAUACUGAUAAGCCCAAUUAUUUUAGUAGAAAUAAAACAAAAAGAAAGUAAUAUAUGUGCAAGAUAGAAAUUCAAACAAUAUAGACAGGAAUUAUUUUAUUAAAAAAUAAGGCAUACCUCCACCAAGUUUUUUGUUCCAAAGUAAACAUUGUUAAGGGUUAAAAUGUCAAUAUGUAUAAUACCUUCCAUUAAAGUCAUGCAUACAUACAUUUACAUACCAAAUCUAUAUUUGAAUUAAAGAUACAAUAACAAUUUACUGCAUUUUUCUUAGAUUUUUCUAAUAGAAAUUGGAAAGCCACUUCACUUCAGAGUCAUUUAAUUAUUUUAAACACUACACAGUAUUUUUUUACAUGGAUAUAUCAUAUUAUGUGAAGGUAACGAGUCAUUUUUUCAAAUAAAGCUUAGUAUUAUAUGCAGCACUUCAAGAAUUAAACAGCGUUUGUCUAGGUAAAUCUUUGAUGGAUUCCUUCAAGUCUUUCAUGUUAGCCUCCUUAGGUUCCAGCAGAUGGCGCUAUAACAACACUCCAGGAAAACUGAACUGCCUAACAAGACACUGAGCUAUUUAAAGUCAGCAGAGGACGGUCUAUUUUCCAAAUAAAAAAAUCAAUUUCACAAUUGCCAUUCUUUCAUGAUAUAAGGGUGAUUAUUGCCAAAAUAUCAUAAAAUAUUGGGCGCUACAAUGGUUUAAGUGUUCUUUUAAAACCUUUGCAAAAGAAUUGUUACAAUAGGAAAUGGGUCAGAUGAAAUAUCUUGGCCUAUGUGGUGACAGAAGCAGUAUUUUUAAGGGCUUAUCACUAGUGACACAUCACUUCCAAUUACAAUAUCCAAAUUGUUCCUUACAAUGAUCCUAUGGGUUUAGAAGGUCAAAGGUAUCCUCUUUAAGCAGAUAGGAAAGCUGAUGCUUUGCAAAAACUCAGUCCAAAAACUAGGCUCAAAGGCUGGUCUUCUAACUUCAAAAUAUUGAGCUAUUCUCAAUCCACCCAUUCAUUUGCUGGAUCUAUUCUUGGUGGUGGUGGUGGUCUUGCUUACUUGUUUGUGAAUGAAAACUAUAGGUUGUAAUAUUUUUAAUAUUAGGUAAUGCAUCAGUAAGCAAUAAGUAUAACAAAUAUUUCCUCCCCAGUAGAGAGAACAAGAAAGAAAAGACCAAAUGAAGGAAAAUUAGAAAAGAGUACAGGGAAAAGGCAAUGAAGAUGGAGGAGGCAAGAGAUAUUCAAAGUCUGAGGAAUAAGAAAAGGAGAUGCAAUACAAUUGGACAGUUUUUCACUUGGUGUUAGAUUCAGUCCUAAACACUGAUUAUGUGCUCUCCUCCUCACACUUGAACUUGUUAUCCACAGCCCACAGAAAUAUUUUAACUGCUUUGAUUCUUAAAUGUAUUUAUUUGAUGUGUGUAUGUAAAGUGUUUGACAGAUAAAUAUUUUACUAUUUUAUGCUAAAAAUGAGCAUGGAGGACUGGAUUCCUUACCAUGUUUUGUCACACAUUUUCCAGUGAAGUUGAACAUUUAAUCCUCUUAAGUAGGAUUUAAUCCUCUUAAAUCCUACUUCUCAUCUUCAAAACUGAGCAUUUGAAAAUAGCGAGUUAUUGUGAGUCUUUAAUGAAAUUAUCACACAGCAGGUGUGCAAAUGUUCAUUUAUUUGGCUGAUACACAAUGCCUGUGUGUUUUGGCCUUACAGCACUAAGCCUCUGUGAUCUGACCCAUGUUUAUUUCUCUAGCCUUAUCUUGUCCCAGGUUUCUCUUCAAUCACAGCACGGACAAUGUCCUUCCUUCCGGGGUUUUGUUUAUUUUGGGUUUUCUGUGCUUUUAUUUCACUUUGCUCUUUUCCUCUUUAAAUUCCUUUUUCAGUUUUUUUUUUUGGGGGGGGGUCUCAUAUGCCCACUAGACUGUAAACAGCAAGGUGGGGUGCCUAGAGCAGGACUCUUCAUUCUCUAUGAACUCCAAGUUUCCAAAGCUCACUAAAUCUUGAGAACUGGUCAGAAGAGUUGGCCUAGACAAUAGCUUAGUUUUAUGAGGGAAGUAAGGUGACUGCCUCAAAGAUAAAUGUUUUUUGAUUCCCUUUAUUACCUCCUUUAGAGUAGAAAUCAUAUUCUACUACAAACUACAAAGUAUGUUUGCCUCCGUUACUUAAGUCACCUUAAGUUAAGUGGUGACAUCCAAUCCCACACUAAUUUGAAAUGCUAAAGAGGCAGAAUUUUCUUUAGACAGCCAUCACACAAGCCAGAAUAAUUUGCAGACAAAGAAGCUUAGGGCAGGAACUUCGUUAGGUACACUAAUUUCUCCUUCCCAACAUUAUUUACAUUCCUGCAAAUGAUCUUCCUAGAUCACGGUGCAUCUUAUUUAAGAGUAAUAGACAAGAGUCAUAAUUAGAUAAUUCUAGCUCUUCUCCAAGAAAAGAAAAAGCGUCACUGGAUAAAUGCCAGAGUGUUCACUUCUGGAAGAAAAGAUUAGAUUGAGCAUUUCAUAAUUCAUUUCAAAUUUGAAUACUAAUCCCUGGUUGGAUUUGAGAAAAAUCCUGAAGCUUGCUUUAAUAAAUGAGAUGUCACUUUGUGAUUAGAUUCUUAUUUCUAUUUGAUAUGAGGCUCAUGCUGUGGUCCUUGAUCUGGGAAAGAAAAAGAACCAGCCAUGGGGGUGUAAUUCUUUUGAACUGACUGAAGGCAGAAAAAUCUAGCCACGGCAAACCUGUGGUGAAUCAAUGAGACAGAAAAGUUGGAAAUGUAGGUAAGGACUAGAUCAUGUGGUGCUGGUCCCUGAAAGUAGCUUAGAUCUGAUGCUGGGAUGAAAUGUCUCUGGGAUUUUAAGCUGUAGAGUGACUUAUCAUCUCAUGUGUGUUUUGGAUUCAGAAACAUGAUGUAAACAAUAAAUGAUGGCUACCUUGCUUGACUAUAUUGCUUAAUAAUCCCCCAAACUGGUGCUCUGGUGUUUGUUUACAACCAAGGACACUGUACUUUCUGAGUAUUUGAGAAGAAUAAAUAUUUGAUCCUAUGGUUGCAACAUGAUUUACGAGUUGCUUAUAAGGGGAUGAUUUGCAGACCACAAUGAAAACAUUGAAUUAUUUCUUUUUUUCUUUUAUUUUUUUCUUCUCAUGGCCAAACCUGUGGCAUAUCAAAGUUCCCAGGCUAGGGGUCGAAUCAGAGCUGCAGCUGAAGCCUACACCACAGCCAUGGCAACACUAGAUCCAAGCCACAUCUGCAACUGUUGGGCAACGAUGUAUCCUUAGCCCACCGAGUAAGGCCAAGGAUCAAACCAACAUCCUCAGAGAGACAACACUGGGUUCUUAACCUGCUAAGCCACAACAGGAACGCUUGAAUUAUUUCUUAAUGGCAUUAACAUCCAAGGAGUAGUAGGUAUUUUCUCCUACCUCAAAAAUUCAACUAGCCGUUCUCUAAAAAUGUGUGCUUUUCCUUUUCCAGGAGUCCUUGCCUCAGCCCAGUGUGAAUCUAGGUGUAGCCAAAUGGCAAGGACUUCCCAAUAGAUUAUGAGCAGAAGUGAUAUUUAUCACUUCCAGGCCAAGGCCUUUAGGAGCAGAUGAGUUUUCUCCAUUCCCUUUUUCCCCUUCUUCCAUUAGAAGGUCUACUAGAACUAAGGGAUCGAGGGCCCAGAAGAUAGAAUGGAAACAGUUCCUUGAAUCACUGGGUAGAAGAAAGCCCAGCAAACUGAACCUCCCCUCCUCAUUAGGCUUUCCUUUCUUCCCCUCUCCACUAAGUGGAUAGUGUCCUUCCAUGCAAGAUAAGCAGCACCUUCCACAAGCCCACUCCUUCUCCGUCGAGCCUCAGAUUGCUUGUGUGUUCUGUCCUCAUCCCAAAGAACACCUUGCCUCUCUUUCCGGUUCUGGAGAGUUUGAGAUGGUAGGGAUCUCAGAGUUUAGUGAUCAUUUUCUCUGGAUAGUUUUUUCCCAGUCAGUCCUCAUAUUCAUGAAAUGACAUUUAUGUAACAGAGGGACCACAGGCCUUCCCUCUUUUGUGUCAUUAUCCUUUCAGCAAUGAAGACAUAUCUGUCCUUGUCACAGAACAAAUCAUUAAAUCUGACUGCAAGUUGCAGGGAAUUAUAGGGCUGAUAGAUGUCCCAUCAAUGUUUCUGGUAUUUACCCUCGAAAAUUGCUAAGACAGGAGGUGAGGUAAGGAGAGUCACAGAGUUAUCAAAGCUGGAGUGGAUGUUCUCUCAUUUAUUGGAAGAGCUGUUUGUAUCAGGAAAACCAGGGUUGAAUCAGAUAUUUAAUACGGACAUGGAACAAGCAGCUGAGAAUUUAGAAUACAAUGAUGUCGUUUCCUGAAGAAUCCAAGCAUUUGACCACAAGCUGAAGUGAUCAAGGGAAAUGGUCCAGAUCUCACAAAGAUGCCGGCGGUGUAGAUUGGGACAGAGCUGACAUUUAAAAAAGACACUCCACAUUUCCCCAUAUCCUCACUAAAAUGUGUCUAUCAUCAC